GCAAUUCAGUAAGAACUAUAAUGCUUCUACUGUGCACCUGACAGUGCUGUCUAUGUCAGGAACUAUGUUUCUAGGCCUAAAUGGAUACCUGCAAAAGUACUUGUGGCCACAGGACCUUUGUCAUACAAAGUACAAAUUCCUGAUGGUAGAAUAUUACGAAGGCAUGUCGAUCAGAUUCGGGAAUGGAGUGAUGAGAUUGUGCCUGCUGCCGGUCCCAGUCAUACUGGGUUUUCUGUGAUACCAAAUGAUGUUGAACCAUUGGAUGAUAUAGGUCUCAGUUCUCCAGGAGUUGUUGUUGAAG
This 301-nucleotide long non-coding RNA is filed under the name Pelobates cultripes (western spadefoot toad). The record is from RNAcentral. Lineage: Eukaryota; Metazoa; Chordata; Amphibia; Anura; Pelobatidae.